Molecule: transfer RNA, 76 nt
Filed under: Chitinophaga silvisoli
Lineage: Bacteria; Pseudomonadati; Bacteroidota; Chitinophagia; Chitinophagales; Chitinophagaceae
Description: Chitinophaga sp. K20C18050901 tRNA-His
Rfam family: tRNA
About the family: Transfer RNA (tRNA) molecules are approximately 80 nucleotides in length.
Source: RNAcentral
GUGGUUGUAGCUCAGUUGGUUAGAGCACCAGAUUGUGGUUCUGGGGGUCGUGGGUUCGAACCCCAUCAUCCACCCA